UGGGCUUGAAAUCCUCCGAACCUGAUGUAAUUGUCGGAGUGCCCCCUGGGGAAUUGAGUGAC
This 62-nucleotide ribosomal RNA is filed under the name uncultured bacterium. RNAcentral describes it as "partial 16S ribosomal RNA". The record is from RNAcentral.